RNAcentral lists this ribosomal RNA (434 nucleotides) under uncultured bacterium. RNAcentral describes it as "partial 16S ribosomal RNA". It matches the Rfam family "Bacterial small subunit ribosomal RNA", at positions 29 to 507 of the family's 1533-position model. The record is from RNAcentral.
ACGAACGCUGGCGGCAUGCCUAACCCCUGCAAGUCGAACGAUUGCCUUCGGGUGAUAGUGGCGCACGGGUGCGUAACGCGUGGGAAUCUGCCCUUAGGUUCGGAAUAACAGCUGGAAACGGCUGCUAAUACCGGAUGAUAUCGCGAGAUCAAAGAUUUAUCGCCUGAGGAUGAGCCCGCGUUGGAUUAGGUAGUUGGUGGGGUAAAGGCCUACCAAGCCGACGAUCCAUAGCUGGUCUGAGAGGAUGAUCAGCCACACUGGGACUGAGACACGGACCAGACUCCUACGGGAAGGAGCAGUGGGGAAUAUUGGACAAUGGGCGCAAGCCUGAUCCAGCAAUGCCGCGUGAGUGAUGAAGGCCCUAGGGUUGUAAAGCUCUUUUACCCGGGAAGAUAAUGACUGUACCGGGAGAAUAAGCCCCGGCUAACUCCGUG